GAAUCAUCGAAUCUUUGAACGCACAUUGCGCCCGCCAGUAUUCUGGCGGGCAUGCCUGUUCGAGCGUCAUUUCAACCAUCAAGCCCCCGGCUUGUGUUGGGGACCUGCGGCUGCCGCAGGCCCUGAAAACCAGUGGCGGGCUCGCUAGUCACUCCGAGCGUAGUAGUAUUAUCUCGCUCAGGGCGUGCUGCGGGUUCCGGCCGUUAAAAAGCCUUUUUUACCCAAGGUUGACCUCGGAUCAGGUAGGAAGACCCGCUGAACUUAAGCAUAUCAAUAAGCGGAGGAAAAGAAACCAACAGGGAUUGCCCUAGUAACGGCGAGUGAAGCGGCAACAGCUCAAAUUUGAAAUCUGGCCUCGGCCCGAGUUGUAAUUUGCAGAGGAAGCUUUAGGCGCGGCACCAACUGAGUCCCCUGGAACGGGGCGCCAUAGAGGGUGAGAGCCCCGUAUAGUUGGACGCCUAGCCUGUGUAAAGCUCCUUCGACGAGUCGAGUAGUUUGGGAAUGCUGCUCAAAAUGGGAGGUAAAUUUCUUCUAAAGCUAAAUACCGGCCAGAGACCGAUAGCGCACAAGUAGAGUGAUCGAAAGAUGAAAAGCACUUUGAAAAGAGGGUUAAAUAGCACGUGAAAUUGUUGAAAGGGAAGCGCUUGUGACCAGACUUGCGCCGGGCGGAUCAUCCGGUGUUCUCACCGGUGCACUCCGCCCGGCUCAGGCCAGCAUCGGUUCUCGCGGGGGGAUAAAGGUCCCGGGAACGUAGCUCCUCCGGGAGUGUUAUAGCCCGGGGCGUAAUGCCCUCGCGGGGACCGAGGUUCGCGCAUCUGCAAGGAUGCUGGCGUAAUGGUCAUCAGCGACCCGUCUUGAAACACGGACCAAGGAGUCAAGGUUUUGCGCGAGUGUUUGGGUGUAAAACCCGCACGCGUAAUGAAAGUGAACGUAGGUGAGAGCUUCGGCGCAUCAUCGACCGAUCCUGAUGUUUUCGGAUGGAUUUGAGUAGGAGCGUUAAGCCUUGGACCCGAAAGAUGGUGAACUAUGCUUGGAUAGGGUGAAGCCAGAGGAAACUCUGGUGGAGGCUCGCAGCGGUUCUGACGUGCAAAUCGAUCGUCAAAUCUGAGCAUGGGGGCGAAAGACUAAUCGAACCAUCUAGUAGCUGGUUACCGCCGAAGUUUCCCUCAGGAUAGCAGUGUUGUUCUUCAGUUUUAUGAGGUAAAGCGAAUGAUUAGGGACUCGGGGGCGCUUUUUAGCCUUCAUCCAUUCUCAAACUUUAAAUAUGUAAGAAGCCCUUGUUACUUAAUUGAACGUGGGCAUUCGAAUGUACCAACACUAGUGGGCCAUUUUUGGUAAGCAGAACUGGCGAUGCGGGAUGAACCGAACGCGGGGUUAAGGUGCCGGAGUGGACGCUCAUCAGACACCACAAAAGGCGUUAGUACAUCUUGACAGCAGGACGGUGGCCAUGGAAGUCGGAAUCCGCUAAGGACUGUGUAACAACUCACCUGCCGAAUGUACUAGCCCUGAAAAUGGAUGGCGCUCAAGCGUCCCACCCAUACCCCGCCCUCAGGGUAGAAACGAUGCCCUGAGGAGUAGGCGGCCGUGGAGGUCAGUGACGAAGCCUAGGG
This 1610-nucleotide ribosomal RNA is filed under the name Chaetomidium leptoderma. RNAcentral's name for it is "eukaryotic LSU rRNA". The stretch from base 229 to 1610 matches the Rfam family "Eukaryotic large subunit ribosomal RNA", at positions 1 to 1415 of the family's 3401-position model. Lineage: Eukaryota; Fungi; Ascomycota; Sordariomycetes; Sordariales; Chaetomiaceae. The record is from RNAcentral.